This is a long non-coding RNA of Sinocyclocheilus grahami, 205 nucleotides long. RefSeq lists it as uncharacterized. The record is from RefSeq and is a predicted model, not a curated record. Lineage: Eukaryota; Metazoa; Chordata; Actinopteri; Cypriniformes; Cyprinidae. The transcript is spliced from 3 exons.
UUCAAAUAAAAUAAAACUUUCUAUUCAUCAAAGAAUCCUGGAGAAAUAUGUAUCAUGGCUUCUUCCACAAACAUAUAUUAAUCAGCACAAUGGUUUUCAAUACUGAUAAUAAGAAUUGUUCUUGAGCGAAUCAGCAUAUCAAAAUGAUAUCUGAAGGGUCAUGUGACACUGAAGACUGGGGUAAUGAUGCUUAAAAUUCAGCUUU